This 69-nucleotide transfer RNA is filed under the name Rattus norvegicus (Norway rat). It matches the Rfam family "tRNA". From Rfam's summary of the family: Transfer RNA (tRNA) molecules are approximately 80 nucleotides in length. Their secondary structure includes four short double-helical elements and three loops (D, anti-codon, and T loops). The record is from Rfam by way of RNAcentral. Lineage: Eukaryota; Metazoa; Chordata; Mammalia; Rodentia; Muridae.
GGGGAUUUAGCUCAGUGGUAGAGCGCUUGCCUAGCAAGUGCAAGGCCCUGGGUUCAGUUCCCAGUUCCA